Molecule: non-coding RNA, 22 nt
Filed under: Arabidopsis thaliana (thale cress)
Lineage: Eukaryota; Viridiplantae; Streptophyta; Magnoliopsida; Brassicales; Brassicaceae
Source: RNAcentral
UACAUGCAGAGUUAUGUGUGUA